This 985-nucleotide ribosomal RNA is filed under the name Sapromyza palpella. Its description in RNAcentral is "eukaryotic LSU rRNA". It matches the Rfam family "Eukaryotic large subunit ribosomal RNA", at positions 132 to 913 of the family's 3401-position model. Lineage: Eukaryota; Metazoa; Arthropoda; Insecta; Diptera; Lauxaniidae. The record is from RNAcentral.
GAUGUCAGAAGGUGGGGAAUGUUGGAAAGUCUAUAAUCUAGUAUGAGAAAUUAAUGAUUUAAGUCCUUCUUAAAUGAGGCCAUUUACCCAUAGAGGGUGCCAGGCCCGUAUAACGUUAAUGAUUACUAGAAGAUGUUUCCAAAGAGUCGUGUUGCUUGAUAGUGCAGCACUAAGUGGGUGGUAAACUCCAUCUAAAACUAAAUAUAACCAUGAGACCGAUAGUAAACAAGUACCGUGAGGGAAAGUUGAAAAGAACUCUGAAUAGAGAGUUAAAUAGUACGUGAAACUGCUUAGAGGUUAAGCCCGAUGAACCUGAAUAUCCAUUAUGGAAAAUUCAUCAUUAUGUAUAUAAUAUUUAUAAUAUUGUAGAAAUAGUGUGCAUUUUUUCCAUAUAAGGACAUUGUAAUCUAUUAACAUAAUAAAUAUUUAUCAGAAGGUCAUUUGCUUAUGUUUAUUCAAAUUAAUUUGCUUGCAAGUUAACACAAAAUAAAUGCUUAUGAUUUGAUAAAGUGUUGAUAGAUUUAUUAUAUAUAGUGCUUAAAUACUUUUGUAUUUUACAAUCGUAUUAUUAUCUAAUGAUUUUAAUAUUUAUUGUAUGCGCUUAUAUGAUUAACAAUGCGAUAGAUUCAGGAUACCUUCGGGACCCGUCUUGAAACACGGACCAAGGAGUCUAACAUAUGUGCAAGUCAUUGGGAUUAUUUAUAUAAACCCAAAGGCGUAAUUAACUUAACUGUUUUUAAAUGGGAUUAGUUUUUAGUCUAUAUGUCUAUUAAUUCAAUCCCGGGGCGUUCUAUACAGUUAUGUAUAAUAAUAUUUAUAUUAUUUAUACCUCUAACUAGAGCGUACCUUUAGCAUAUAUGCUGUGACCGAAAAGAUGGUGAAAAAAAAAUGUGUGAAUGGGUAAAAUAUAUAAUAUAAUUAUUAAUUAUUUAUAUUUUAUAAAGAUUUAAUAAAUAUGUAUAAUAAUAUUAUUAUUUAUAAUAUA